RNAcentral lists this ribosomal RNA (301 nucleotides) under uncultured bacterium. RNAcentral's name for it is "partial 16S ribosomal RNA". It matches the Rfam family "Bacterial small subunit ribosomal RNA", at positions 509 to 807 of the family's 1533-position model. The record is from RNAcentral.
CAGUAGCCGCGGGAAUACGUAGGUGGCAAGCGUUGUCCGGAAUUAUUGGGCGUAAAGGGCUCGCAGGCGGUUUCUUAAGUCUGAUGUGAAAGCCCCCGGCUCAACCGGGGAGGGUCAUUGGAAGCUGGGAAACUUGAGUGCAGAAGAGGAGAGUGGAAUUCCACGUGUAGCGGUGAAGUGCGUAGAGAUGUGGAGGAACACCAGUGGCGAAGGCGACUCUCUGGUCUGUAACUGACGCUGAGGAGCGAAAGCGUGGGGAGCGAACAGGAUUAGAUACCCCCGUAGUCCCUGUCUCUUAUAC